AAGAUAACGCACGCCUUGCUCAAGGCAAAAGUUCAGGAAGUCAAAAUUGGUUUGGAGAUGAAAUGGGAAAAACAAGAGCAGCUCCAAAGAGAGAGGAACGUCCAGAAAACCAAGAAAUACGACUGAUAAAGGGUGCUGACCAGGUCUCUGGAGCUGCACCCCGGCCCCAUGCGCCUCCCCAGCCCCCUGGCCGCACUGUGUCCUCCCCGCGCUCGUCGUCCCCCUCGCCCCCAGCGCCACCCUGCGCUGCGGAUCCGGGACCGCCUGGGAAACGCCCUGGCCUGGCAUGGCUUGGGGCUCUGGGCAGAAGCAAGGUCUAAAAACCAAGGUUGGGGCCUCAUGUGUAAGUCUAGAAGCACAAAGCACCGCUUACCAAAACACCUCGAGGCAACCGUAUGGCUUUUUUUUUUUUUAAUUAAGUUGUUCCGGGGCGGUGGCUCACGCCUGUAAUCCCAGCAUGUUGGGAGGCUGAGGCGGGCGGAUCCCUUGAGCACGGAAGCUGAGGCUGCAGAAGGCCGUGGUCGCGCCACUGCACUCCGGCCUGGGGGACAGAGUGAGCCCCUGUCUCAAAAAUAUAAAACAAAAUAAAAAAUUAAUAAUUAAAUUAAA
RNAcentral lists this long non-coding RNA (609 nucleotides) under Pongo abelii (Sumatran orangutan). RNAcentral describes it as "lincRNA". The record is from RNAcentral. Lineage: Eukaryota; Metazoa; Chordata; Mammalia; Primates; Hominidae.